UGAUUUCAGGUAUCGAAUUUGGAGCGCGCACAGACCAACUUACACAAUCUAGUGGUGGUACCUCAUAGCUUAGGGGCAGGAGCUGUGACUUUACGCAAGGCAACUGUUGUCUUUGAACCAGAUGAGCGCCCCAGGUGCUUGCAGAUAAAGUCCCCAGCCAACAUGAGCUUUUUAAGAUCUACAUGGGUCUUCAGUCCAAGUCCAUUAAGCAUGUACACAACAUCUUCCGUGGCAACAUUUCCGGAAGCUCCCUCCUUUAGCAUACGGACAACCCCCAAGACCUGAUACUGAUGAAUCCACUGUGAGGAUUCCUAUCUGCCAAGAUGAAAAUGUCAUUCCAGUUCGAUUAUCCUUUUUUCUUAAUAUAUGCAGUUCUAUUAUCCUUAAACAUUAAGAUCAGUCAGAAUUCUAGAAGUAUGGUCCGCUAAAUCAUGUAGUCACAAGAAAGGGAAUCAACUUGUGUUGGAGUGGCCCUAAAAACCUAUUGUCUCAAGUUUUAAUUUAUACUUUGGAUAGUGCACCUUUUUCACGAGCUCCAUUUGCUUAUUUUGAUGUCCAUCACGCUCUACUGUGACAAGCUCAGCACUAUGUAGAUGACUUCCAAUCCAAUACUGCAUGUUCGUACCAAUUUCAUUGAGCUUGUUAGUAUGCACGUAUCCACAAGCACUGCUAGCACUCCAAAGUAUUCCUCUCAGACCAUUGAGUAGGCAAAGGCGUAUUGAGUACCCUCCUUUACUUGUCCCUCGAUAAGUGCCAAAUGUACUUUGGCUUCGUUUUCGUACUUGCCUUUUACUUUUUUAAAUAAUUAUUAUGGAGGCCUUUCAAUCAUGAAUUGUUUAUUGAUAGUGGUAAUUGGGUCGAAAAUCCAAGACAAAAACAAUCGUUUGAAGACUUAUACUUUGAUUUUGACUGAUCUAAUCAUGUCAAAAAUUGCAACUACCUACAUUUGGUUUAAUUUUCCUGCUAAAUUCAAGAGCAGUGUGGAUUACCUGGAGUGACGCUAGUAUGUUUGAAAUAGCUUGCCCAUACGUGUCAUGAAAAUGGACAGCAAGCUUCAGUGGGGACCACACCAACAACAGCCUCAAGCAUUGGAAUGACACUAUCUAGAGUGGAAAAAAAAAAAGAAUUUUAACGAAAAAUCUACGAUACUGUUUAAUUUAACGAAAAAUCAUAUUUUUAUACUAAAAAGUCAAACUUGAUAACAAACAAACAAAAUACACUACCCAAUCCUCUUCCUCCGCAUCAUUAAGAUAACAACGCAAACUACCAUCACAAUCACUGGACUUAAAAAGACAGGGUCUGAAGUUUUUACUGUUAGGAACUUAUGACAUCUUUUGGGGAUGUUUUAUUUUAUAUUUUCACAGCGUCAGUGUUUAUCCCAGAAAGCAUAAGCCUUGAGGAAUACACCACAGCCAAAUAGUGUCUACUAUAUGGGAUAAACGCUAAACAAAUGAGACUAGUCAAAAUAAGUGAAUGGCACACUACAAGCCGAGCCUCAUGCUGCACAUUUCUGUAACUUUUCGGUCUUGAACUUCUAGUUUGGCUUUCCAACUUCUUUGUUUACCCAAAUGAAAUUAGCCCAAGCAAAAUUUAACUUUCCCAAAGUCAAAACACGCAAUCACUGGCCGGCAAACCCACAUCAUAGCAUGAAAGCUUAGAAAGUUUCUUUUUUCCUCCCAUUUUGAUGAAUACGCUAAAAGCCUAAUAGAGAAUUUAGGAUGGCAGAAGGAAGUAGUAUAAGUUCAACAAGAGCCAAGGCAUGAGCCAACUAAAUCAACAAGAAGAAAGGCGGACAAAAUUACCUGGAGUACCAACACCAAUUGUAUCACCAAGAGAAAUUUCUGAGCAACCCAUGUCAUAAAGUUCUUUCGCCACAUAUGCUACUUGUGAUGGGGAUAUCUUUCCUUCCACUGGACACCCCACAACACACGAUAUGUAUCUAAAAGGAUUAGAAAGGUAUAAUAUUGGAAUACUGCUCAGAAAAACAAUAGAAAUUAAAUAGUUCCAUAUAAAAAUAUUAUUUAGAAAGAAAGUAAUUUAGUUCCACUGGGAGUGAGAAGAACCCAUACCACCCUCCCCGACCCCCAAAGCGCAGAAAACAAAAAGUAGUUAGAAAAUAUACCCACAAAGAGGAAUUAAAAGCUUUCUGGCAGCAAUAGCAACAUCACUAUGACAAACGAGACUAUCUUCAAUACUGCAGUUUAUAUUUGAUUUUGAAAAAGAUUGAGAAGCCGAGGCAAAUAUGCCAACUUCUUUUGCACCAGAAGCAAUAGCUGCCAUUUCAUCGGAUGAGGAUCCUCUCCGGAUUCUCUUUGUGAGGAUCUCGGAGAUCCUCCAAUUAUGUUUGUUUAUCGUAUAUUGUGAGACUAGAAGUACUGUUUAUAUUUAAUUUUAAAUAAAAAAAAUUAAAAUGAUUUAUGACCGUACGAUAUACGAUGAACGGACACAAUUGAAGGAUCGCAGGGUUUCUCACAAAAAGGAUCCUCAUUCGUCUCUCUCUUCUUCAAAUCUUUUCUUCUCCCAUUUUAGUGCAGUUUAGAGUGGAAAUGUCAUUUGCAAAACUGCAAAGGGUUUGGUCUAAUGAAAAGUGAGCAAAAGUUUGGAAUUUCUAACUCGAAUUUGAGCUCUCACAAAUGCAUUUUUUGAGCAACCGGCCCCUAUUUUGGUGUAUUGUUUGAACCGAGGCCAAAAGUUCAAUAGCCUUAUUAUUCUUGCAUUAAGUUCCCUGAUUUAGUGAAUCAUGAGAAAAAUAAUAUUGGAUGAGACUAUUCAAAACCCUAGAAUACAGAAGUUGGCCUCAUCACCUUGUCCUUCUUGUACGUUGGAUUAUAUAGUCAUUCAUUUUACGGGGCAAGAGAUUUGACAUUUAUGGAUUAAUCAACUGCGCUUCUAAGUUAGGUUGGACGAACGCACCGAAAUCCCAAAGUGUCAGAGUGUCGGACACUCCGACACAGGUUGAACAUGAUCAAGACACUGGUCAAGGGGCGGGCAUUUUUAUAAAUUUGAAAAAUAUUUAGAGUCAGUUUUGGAAACAUAAAAACAUUGAAAGAUUUGGGGCAAUUUGGAAAUACAAAAACUAAAGCCUAAAAGCAACCCGUCCUAACCCAACUUCAAUCUCUUAUAUGCGCCUCCUUCCACUUCUCUUCUUCCCCUCUUCGCAACCGAUGCAGCCUCUUCUCUACGGCCUUCACUCUAGUUGCAUUCUAUUUUAAUUGGUUGUUUAAUUUGUUAUUGAGCAUAAACAUAUCUCUUCUUGUUUUUUUUUUUCUUUUUUAAAAGGAACAACUGGUUACAAGUCACGGUUAUACAUAUUUUUUAGAAGCCGAAAAGACUUACAUAGUCAUUUCAGCUUCCCUCUAGCUUCUUGUUUUAAUUAUUAUACUUGUUUUGUUUUAAUUAUUAUACUUGUAUUGUUUUAAUUAUUAUGUUUUGUGUUAUUUUAGUUAUUAUGUAUAAUGAACGAAUUUGAUAAACACAGUUAUUUUGUUAUAUUAUAAUCCACUAUUAUUUUUAAUAUAUGCAAUAUUUACUAUAAAUUUAUUAUAUUUUAAACAAUGUUUCCAUGUCCUAUUUUUUAAGAUUUUUCAUGUUCUUGUCGCCUGUAUUCGUGUCCAUAUCCGUGCAUCCUUGUAAUAGUGUAGGAUAACUAUUUUGGAGUGGGAAAUGUUUUGCCACUCUAUCCCUUAUCAAACUUUAACUUGAAUUUUAACCAUUGCUUGUUAUUGACUAACAUUUUGGGAAUUCCAACUGGAUCAUCAGCUUCCAGACUCUGUAACCCUCCACCUCCCUAAAGGAAGAAAUGGCAAACAAGUGAGUUCGAGUAUGUAGUGCAGCUACAUCAACACUUGAGCACGACAAACGUUACAUAAGAUCAACCUUUCCACCGUACGUCAGCUACAUCAUGCCUGCCUCCUUUCUUACUUCAAACAUUCAUUCAUCGUAUCCUUACUUGUUGUGGCCAGUCGACGGAAUUUGGAAAUAUAGCAUGCUUAGUUUGCGUCAAUUUCAAUAGGGAUUCAACACAAUCCAAUCCAUCAUGUUAAAUUCAGAAAAUUUGGACCCCAAAUAGAAUUAUAACUACCUUUUACAUUUGCUAUAAUUAUAACAAAAAAUUGAUAUAAAAGUACUAAUAUAACAUUAAAGGUUUUCUACAAGAACCAAAAAGCAAAAUUAAAACGAACAUCGGGUGUCUAGAUCUUAGUGACACUUAUAAGCUUCUUGUUGUUAGUAAAAGGAAGGCAUUUUUCUGGUGUGGUUGCAGAAAAAUGGAUUGGGAAGAACUCUUCGAAAGUUGGAGAAGAUUUGAAGGUCUUGCUCUCACAGUUAUCUGGUACUCGAGGGCUUGAGCAAUCACCAAGCGCUUUGUAUGAGGAGUUGGAGGAAGAAAGAAAUGCUUCUACAAUCGCUUCAGAUCAAACAAUGGCCAUGAUUACAAGACUGCAAGAGAAGAAGGCAGUGCUCCAUAUGGAAGCACUCCAGCAAUUAAGGGCUGAUUUGGUAUUGAUGUGCUUUGAAAAAAAAAACUGUUUCUGCUGUGCUGUGAGAAUAAGCAGCUGUGAAAUAAAACUGUAGAGUAUUUGGUAAACUUUUUUGUAAAAAUGCAUUUGAAAAAAAAAACAGUAGUAUAGUAUUUGGUAAAUUUUUAUGUAAAACAGAUGUGAAAAAAAUUCGGUUUUUCAAAGCUGAGUUUUGCAGCUUCUUGUUUUUGGCUUUUUUUCAUCAAAAACUGUGAAAAAAAAUCUAAAGCUGAAUGUUUAUCAAACACAAAAUAGCUCCCAACUUUUUUUUAUACCAAUUUUUUUCAGAAUCACCUUACUACCAAACCAGGCCUAAGAAUGAUGGAAGAGCAAGGCGAGUACGAUAAUGAACCGCUGCGAAAGAUAGACAACCUUCUUGUCGAGAAGAAGGAAAUACAAGAUUUAGAAGCAGAGGCUGAGGGCACUCCAUGCAUACUGAGGGUUUCUUGAACACACGAUUAACCCGAUUCUCGUUUCUCUUCAUACUUCCUUCCUCCACUCAUCUUCAUCCUUCAUUUUUUAUUUUGUCUUCAUGUUGCACUCCAUGGCUAAUGAAAAAAAAAAUGAAAACUAACAAAAAGUCCAAAAAAACUUCCCUUUUAAUAAAAAGUCAUUUUUAAAGGUAUAGUGAAUAGAAUCAGGGAAAGGUAUAAAUCUGGUUUUUCGUUAAAAGUGAACAGUACUGUUUUGUUAAAACUGUAAACAGUAAACUAAAAAAUGCACAUGGAAACCUAAUAGUAAGCCAACAAAAAUGAAUUCAGCCGUACAUUCUAUUAUUCUUGAAUCUUCAACUUGCCAGGGGUGGUACAAUAUAUAUUUGUUGUACGUUUGUUUAUUUCUCUACUCUUUUUUGUUCCACAUGAAAAUAAAUCUACAUGAAAAUUCAGAGGGAAGAGAAAAUAGGAACACCCGGCAAGGUGGCUCCUGCAUCAACAAUAUAAAUGUUGCCAGAGACAUAUUCAGAAGAGUCAUGUACCAAAUAUCGAACUAGCGAUGUCAAUGCUGGAUCUGAAGUGCCAAAUGUUCUUAAAGGGGCAGUUUUCAUAGCCACAUUGUGCAGCCAGUCUUUUUCCAUUAGACGCUCCGUAAUUUCCGAUCUGAAAAGUCCAGGUGAUAUUGCAUUCACUCUGAUUUUGUGUACCCCCAGCUCCAUAGCCAUAGUCUGGUUAACAUAACAAGAUUCAGUAUAGUACCAUAGAAGCUUUCACCUACACUACCAAGUGCAGAGAACUACAGAACAUAUUCCUUAAGAGAAUACUCAUAAUCAAAUAUAGAUAAUGAAACUUAUGAGAGAAGAAGAGAAGAAGAAAAGAAUAAGCAAAGGUAGUGUCGGUGACAUGACAAAGUUGAGGAUAAAAUCUUAAAAUGGCAACUGAUAAACCAGCAGUUAAAAUGUAAAACUUCGUUUGAAGUUAGAUCAUCAAUUCAUAUGUCAUUCCCAGAAAUCCUCCGGUGCAACAAAAAGCAAAAUGUGGUUGAGUGCAAUAACACGUUGGUCAAAACAGUCUGUUGGUUAUACGACAAUAGAGCCGCUCAGACCAUGAGCUUGUGAUAACCACAGCCUUGCGUCAACACACUUUAUUGACAGAUGAUAACAGCACAUGAAGAUGACAAGCAUUUUGGCAAUCAGACUUAGAACUAACGAACUAAAGAGACCAAGAAUCAAAACCGGCUUAUAAUGGGGGUGAUAGAAUUUGGGUCAACGGGCCGAGGGCCCCACUCCAACAACAUUGAUAUUGUCCCCAACUUGGUAAUUACCACCUGUCCAAUCCAUCAGGUGUAGGGUUUUAUCACAAAAGGUCUCGGUACUAGUUAGAGUGGGGGUAAUCAUAUUUAAACUCUUUUCUUUCUUCUUUCUCUCACCUAUGUGGGAUAGCCAACAGGGGCAUAAGAGAAAGUACACAGUAUAGCCCACUAGCAAUAUUCCUCUACUAGACUAAAAAAGAACUGAAAUACUCCUAGGCUGAUUUAAGUCCCUAAGUCUAUCUUUCCCAGGAAACUGUUAUUGGCACUCCAAAAAAGUCAUCUCGUACAAUUUCUGCCUUAUGUUUCCCAGGAGGCAGGCAUCCCUUCAAGUUCUUAUAUUUCAUUUAAAGGCCAAAAGGAACAAAAACAUAAUUCCUUUUCCUUACGCAAUUAAUAUGAUUUUCCUGAUUAGCAUGUUAAAGAUAAUACCUUUGUUAAGGUGUUUACACCAGCCUUUGAACAAUUGUAUGCUGUAGCUCCAGGCAAAUAUCCACGAUUAAGACCAGCAAUGGAAGAUAUAUUGACGAUUGACCCUCCCUGAUCAGCAUCUCGCAUGCGUAUAGCAACAAACUUUGAUACCAACCAGGAACCCGUUAAAUUUGUCCUGAAAACAUGAUUCCAUUCCUCCUCAGACAGGUCCAAUGCAGAACUCACAUUACCUAAGAAACACAGAUGGUAGUAAGCAUUUAUGAUACACCAACACAGACCUAUAGACCAACUAGUUGCGUGUGCCUGUGAGGUCAACAAUUGGUGAUUGGUACAAGACAGGAAUCAGGAUUGGGACUGAGUCUAGUCCAGUCCGAAUCCGAUAGUCCCACCCGCACCCCCUGUGGAGGUAAGAGGUAGAGAGCACAUGAUGAUGUUGUAUACAAUACUUGGGACAGUAGUCCAAUUCAAUAGUCGAGUAUCGUCAUUGUUAAGUUCAUGAACUGAAAGAACAGUCAAAUAAGUAAUUUGCAUUACCAAACAUAUAAUUGUAAAACAAAGGUAUAUUUGUUAAUUCCCCCCUCCCCUAACUAACUUGUAUAGAGCUGCAAAUUUCUUCCUCAACUUUAAUUUUUGACAAUUACCCUCCUGAAAUUCUCUAAUUAGCCAAUUUUCUCUUUGAAUUUUAAUGCCAAUUAGCCCAUGAACUUUUAUAAAUAGUCAAUUUCUCUAGAUUUUAAAAAAUUCUCAUCCAAUUUUUCAUCUAUUUUGAUCACGUGUAGAAGACGUGACAACUCUAUGAGAGCAAAAAGAAUGGAAAACUAACAACAACAACAACAACAAAAUUUUUUCCCACUAAGUGAGGUCGGCUAUAUAAAUCCUAGAACGUCAUUGCGCUGGGUUCUAUGUCAUGUACUCCAUUAGAUCCAAGUACUCUAAGUCUUUUCUUAGGUCUCUUCCAAAGUUUUCCUAGAUCUUCCUCUACCCCUCAGCUAGAUGAAUGAAAAUUUUAAAAUCUAACCCUAAGCGAAAUUGGCUAUUUAUAAAAUUAGAAAGGGCUAAAGUUAAAUUCAGAAAGAAAUUUGCUAAUUACAAAAGCUUAAGAAGUAAUCAGGAAUAAAUUUGAGGACAAUCCGACAAAUACCUCUAAAACAAAUAAUAUAAAAGGCAGAAAGCCAGCCAAACCAACCUCUACCGGCAUUGUUAACAAGGGCAUCGAUGAGCCCAAACGCGUCCCAAGCCUUGUUCACAGACUUCUCGAUAGCUGGGCCAUCGGCGCUGACAUCCAGCUCCACGGCCACAGCCCUCGGGCCUCCACCAGUCCCACUAUCAGCAACAGAAGAUGAUGAAGAAGGAGCGGUGAUGGAGAGCUGGUUGAUUUGAUCGCACACGGACUGAAGGCGGUCGAUGCGGCGAGCGGCGGCUACGAUUCUGCAGCCGGCUUUAGCUAAGUCUAAGCACAACUCGCGGCCGAGGCCAGAGGAAGCGCCGGUAACCAUGACGACUUUGCCGUGGAGGUGGCUCCAGGGCUCCAGGUUGUCCGACAAUCGAUGAGGAUUCUCCAUGUUUGAUAAUCUGUACUCAACUAUGAGCUAUGAAUUAUAUAGAACAAGGAAGAAGAGACUUACAUGUGAAUGUGUGAUACUGCGAAAUCUUGACCGUUGGUGGCUUCGAUAUGGACGGUCAUGAUUUGGGGUGAUAUAUUUGUAGUUGCUGGACGAAAGCAUGUUUGGUGAGGUAGUCGGCUUGACUUGACCCACUUCGAUUAUAGGAACGGAAAGAGAUGAUAUAUUUGCAGUUGCUGGACAAAAGCACGUUUGGUGGGGUAGUCGGCUUGACUUACCCACUUUGAUGAUAGAAACUGAAAGAGAUCCGUCCGGAUCUCUUUCGCCAAGCUUACCAGAUCAAGUGAUCCAAAAUUUUGAAUUUUCAUCUAAUAGUAAAAAAUUAUUAUAGUUUUUAAGGGAUCAAAAUAGGUGGAUCGUUGAGAAAAAUAAUAUUGGAUGAGAUUAUUCAAAACCCUAUAAUAUAGAAGUUGGCCUCAUCAUCUAGUCCUUCUUGUACGUCGGAUUAUAUUGUCAUUCCUUUUACGGGGCAAGAGAUUUGACAUUUAUGGAUUAAUCAACUACGCUUCUAAACUAGGUUGGACAAACACUCCGAAACCCAAAGCGUCGGAGUGUCGAACAUUCUGACACGCCGACGCGCCUCCAACACAAGUUGAACAUGGUCAAGACACUGGUCAAGGGGCAGGGGCAUUUUUAUAAAUUGAAAAAUAUUUUGAGUCAGUUUUGAAAACAUAAAAACAUUGAAAGAUUUGGGGCAAUUUGGAAAUACAAAAACUAAAGCCUAAAGCCAACCCGUCCUAACCCAACUUCAAUCUCUUAUAUGCGCCUCCUUUCACUUCUCUUCUUCCUCUCUUCGCAACCGAUGCAGCCUCUUCUCUACGGCCUCCACUCCAGUUGCAUUCUAUUUUAGUUGGUUGUUUAAUUUGUUAUUGAGCAUAAAUAUAUAUCUCUUCUUGUUUUUUUUUUUAAAGGGAACAAUUAGUGACAAGUCACGGUUAUACACGUCUUUCGGGAGCCGAAAAGACUCACAUAGUCAUUUCAGCUUCUUCUUGUUUUAAUUAUUAUACUUGUUUUGUUUUAAUUAUUAUACUUGUAUUGUUUUAAUUAUUAUGUUUUGUGUUAUUUUAGUUAUUAUGUAUAAUGAAUGAAUUUGAUAAACACGAUUAUUUUGUUAUAUUAUAAUCCACUAUUAUUUUUAAUAUAUGCAAUAUUUACUAUAAAUUUAGGGGUGUGAUAUCUACACAUCCCUUUUUACUUUUCCCACACAUUUUUUGUUUUCUGUCAUCGGAUGUGAUAAUUGAAGAAAAUCAACGGACAUAAAUUAAUAAGGAGUGUGUGAGAAGUAAAAAGGGGUGUGCCACACACCCCUAAAUUUAUUAUAUUUUAAACAAUGUGUCCAUGUCCUAUUUUUUAAGAUUUGCCAUGUUCCUGUCGCAGUGUCGUUGUAUCCGUGUCCAUAUCCGUGCAACCUUGUAAUAGUGUAGGAUAACUAUUUUGGAGUGGGAAAUGUUUUGCCACUUUAUCCCUUUCAAACUUAAACUUGAAUUUUAACCAUUGCUUGUUAUUGACUAACAUUUUGGGAAUUCCAACUGGAUCAUCAGCUUCUAGACUCUGUAAGCCUCCACCUCCCCAAAGGAAGAAAUGGCAAACAAGUGAGUUCGAGUAUGUAGUGCAGCUACAUCAACACUUGAGCACAACAAACGUUACAUAAGAUCAACCUUUCCACCGUACGUCAGCUACAUCAUGCCUGCCUCUUUUCUUUCUUCAAACAUUGAUUCAUCGUAUCCUUACUUCUUGUGGCCAGUCGACGGGAUUUGGAAAUAUAGCAUGCUUAGUUUGCGUCAAUUUCAAUAGAGAUUCAACACAAUCCAAUCCAUCAUGUUAAAUUCAGAUAAUUUGGACCCCAAAUAGAAUUAUAACUAAAGGAAAUCUGAAGGCAAAGGUAUAGCAGGUUGAUGAAUUGUAUAAGCUCAACUCAAUGUCGAGUGAGUAUUCAUUCACUUCUUUAUAUAGAGUUACAAAAGAUAAGGUUGUUACACUUGAUAAACAUUUGAAUCAGAAAAAUAAAUACAAACAGGUUGAAUCAGAUACAAACUGACACGCCCCGACCCUGAUAUUCCCCGAAUACCAGGACCGACACGUGCUGGCCGACACCCGGGGGUGACGAAAGCCAUUAAUUGAUACAAAAGCUAAGAAUAAGAAAUAAAUACAGGUUAUGAAUUUAAAAACAAUGAAUUAACAAUUUAGGAACGUGUUCAGAGCAUACAACUAAACCUAGUCACUAACAAGAAUUAAGAUAAGAUUAAAUGAACAAAGGAGUGGGUCCUACCCCGAGAGGACUCGAAGAUGCCGCUGCGGAAGUACCUUAAUGCCAGGAUUCUAUGCCUCGUUUCUAAGACCUGAAUGGGGGCGCAAAACAAGGGUGAGUGGACCAAGUUUAUAUACAUACAUAGUACGAAAACAGUUAUGAACAUACUAACCCCCACAGUUUAAUAAUGAAAACUACUAGAAUAAUAAGUGAUAAGCUUUUCAGAAACCUUUAGCAUGCCAUAAAACAAUUCAUAUAUCCAUCUGCAAAUCAAUCUCAGAAAAUCAUAUCAGAAAUUAUCUCAGCAAUCAUGUCAGGAAGCAUAACACAAGUUGUGCUGCUAGUGAGUGCACUGAAUAACAAUACUCCCGGCCCAAUGCCUGCACCUCAGUCUCUGUGCCCGUAGCCAGAGAUAUCUCCCUCCCGGCCCAAUGCCUGUCUCCGUGUCCCUCAGCCUUUCGCUAGGGAUUAUUUCUCCCGGCCCCAAUGCCAACACCAGAUCCUCGCCCCAGGCGGCAUAGUGUUCACUAGGUACGCACAAAACAUAAUUCAUCUCUAAAAUACAACUUCGUAGCAUAAAUUCAUCGAUCCUCUAUACUACGAAGAGGUGUUCGAAAGUCAUUUGAAACACAUUCUUAGCAUCCUAUCGUCAUCGAUCAGAUAGUCUACUAGAAUGAGGGUUCUAUAGAAAAUACAAUAUAAUGAAAAUAAUUCAAAACAUAUAUAUAAUCACGUAUAAUCAAAUCAUCAUGCUUCCUGUAAAGUAUUUCUCAAAUCAAUAAUUCUGCAAGGCAUGCUAUUAAAUUAUGCAUUUCUAUCAAUAAAACAUGCAAUUUUCGAAGGUGGUCCACUCACAGAUACUCCGAAGCAGCAGAAUUGUGUGCAAAAAGAUUAAGGAAGUCUCCACUAGCAACUUCACCUAAGCACGAAAAUGUACAAUUUAAUAAACUACCCAAAAGAUAGAAUUUUAGGAAAUGGAAAUGGGUUUUGGGUUUGGGUAGGUUAGGAACAAGAGGGAGUUUUAGGCUUAAGCCUAAACCCACCCUUAUACACACACGGCACACACACCACACAUUCACACACAUACCUACACCACACAUACUCCCAGAGCUGCACCGCACAACGCACACACUGUACACUUCAUAUAGUACACAAACAUACACAACACACACGUGCACCAUACACCAACAUGCCAAACACACCCACAGACAGCAUGCACAUAUAUAUAUAUAUAUAUAUAUAUACAAAUAUACACACAGAGGCAACAUGCAUAUAUAUAUAUAUAUAGAUACAUACAUAUAAACACACACGCAUGCACAGCAUGCAUAUAUAUAUAUAAGCACACACACGCACAGCAAGCAUACUUACACACACACACACACACGGUUCACGCACACACACUUGCACAACGUACACACUGCACAAACACACACUCACGAACUCGCCGGAGUUCGUCGUCGGAACCGGACAUGCAUGCACAAGGGAUGGUAAGAGUUAGGGCUUGAAUAAGGGGUUCUAAAACUUCACAAAUAUACCUAAGAACUCACCUGGACGCACUGCAGCAGGUUUUGGGAAGAGAUGGACCUCGAACUCGUCGGAGUUCGUCGUCGGAGCUAGAUUAUUAGCACAGAGAAAAACUGAGAUCAAAACCCUUGAGUUUUGUCAUAAACUCAUCAUGCACAACCCAGAAAUUUGAAGAAGGAACACAAUCCUCACCUGGGUUCGCGUGUUAGAGCUUUGAAGCUCUCGGCUUCAAUGGCAGAAAAGUCCACAGUGCUCUGAUGGCGCAUGCAAGGGUAUCGUUGAGUUCGUUAAGUCUCAAGGAUCCCAAAUAUAUGGUUUUGGGGUUUGAUUUGUGAGGGAAGUGAGGUGAAAGCUAGAGAGAAGCUCUCGGAGCUUAGAGAGUGUGAGAAAGAGAGAGAAGAAACCGAAAGAAAGAGAGCACUGAGAUUCUCAGAUGUGUUUCGGGCAGAGAUGAAAGGAAAGAGGGAUCUGAGAGCUGCCACAUGGCAGUUUAAGAUCAAUAGCCUUUCUAGAUCAAGGGUUAGGAUUAAAAGAGAAUAAGGGACUAAAUUGAUAGAUAACAAAUAUGUUCUAGGGGAAAAUAGAAAUAGAAUGAAAAAUGGGGGUGGGGUAUAACACAAACAUAUUUGAGAGAGUUGUGCGGAUAAUGGACUGUGUUGUUAUGAUCCUUUCUGUUGCAGAUUGCAGCGGGAAGGUUGUGGUUGAAUUGGUGGUGCUGACUUGGACCUUUCUUUAGGGUUUGGAGAUUUAUCUGAACUAGGUUUGUCAAUAACCACCUUUUAAAUUUGCUAUAAUUAUAACCAAAAAUUGAUAUAGAAGUUAACAUUAAGGGGGCGUUUGUUGUACCGGACUGUCUUAGACUGGACUAGCUUCAAGGACUAAGCUGGACUGGCUUAGACUAGACUAAGCUGGAUUAACUUAGUGAAGCGUUUGGUGCAGUGUCGGACUAAAAAACAGGAUAAUUAACAAAACUGAAAAAUUAUAUUAUUUUAAAGCAUAUCUAGAAUAUUUUAUAUUAAUUCUUCCUCUCUCUUUUUUUCUUCUAGAAACCCUUUUUCUAGAAUGCUCCAUCUUCUCUGCCUCACCACUCCCCCUUUUUUCUCCAUCCGUCUCAAUCCUCUCUGCCUAUUGAUUGUUUCCUUCAGCCAUCUAUUGCUUUCAUGGAAUCCCGUUUCCAAAAAAAUCAACCAAUGAAACACCUUUCAAAAUCCCAUCUCCUUUCAUGCAAUUCCCCAGUUCUUACUAAUUACCAUUCCAUUUUCUUUUGUUUUCUCUUUCAAUUUUCUAGCCAACCAAACACCUUUCAAAAUCCCUAAUUCCAAAUAAUUGCUCACCUUGUCUGGCGUACCAGAUUCAGAUUAUGGUCCACUGAAAACAAGAGUCAAAAAUUGAAUUCCCACAACAGAACGUGACUGGUGGGGAAAGAAUCAACGGAAGCAGGGUGGUUGGUAAGUGAAAAUUAAGGGUGUUUCUAGGAGAGAGCGAUGUAUGUAUGUGUGCGAUCUGAGAUACCAAAAGACCCAGAUCGUGGAAGACCCCAAAUCACCGAACCCAGAUGAAAAAAAUCCUUAUUUUCGAGGAUUGAGAUCUUGUAAGUUGGAAUGAUGCACAAGGUUUGGAUGAGGAAGAAGAUGAAAAUGGUUGUGGGAGCGAAGAAGAAGAAGCAGGGGCGAAACGAAAGAGGCUGAGCGGAGAUGGUCUUAGCGAGCCCCGUGGUUUGUGGAGGGUCUCGCUAAGAACUUCUAGUGAGGCUUCUAAUCCACGCGAGUCCCCUUUAGUCCCAUUUAACUUAGUCCCAAUACAAACCAAACAUAGGACUGUAGUCCAGUCUAGUCCAGUCCUAGUUAAUGAGGCCAAACAAACGCCCCCUAAAGGUCUUCUGCAAGAACCAACAAGCAAAAUUAAAACGAACAUCGGGUGUCUACAUCUUAGUGACACUUAUAAGCUUCUUGUUGUUAGUAAAGGAAGGCAUUUUUCUGGUGUGGUUGCAGAAAAAUGGAUUGGGAAGGACUCUUCGAAAGUUGGGGAAGAUUUGAAGGUCUUGCUGUCACAGUCUGCUACUCGAGGGCUUGAGCAAUCACCAAGCGCUUUGUAUGAGGGGUUGGAGGAAGAAAGAAAUGCUUCUACAAUCGCUUCAGAUCAAACAAUGGCCAUGAUUACAAAACUGCAAGAGAAGAAGGCAGUCCUGUUGUGCCUUGGCCCGUUCAUUAGUGCGGAAACGAGAUUCAGAUUACAACCACACCUAAAAUCACACCCAGUUAAACAGAAUAAAAUACAAGAAAUAAAGACAACGAGAAAUUUACGAGGUUCGGCAAAAACCUGCCUACGUCCUCAGAGAGAUAUUGCUCUUCACUAUGAGAAAAACAGUACAAGUUACACAUAAGUUAAAUCGACAUAACCCAAUCCCAUAUCCCUUGUACACCCACUCACAGAAUUUUCCCAAGAGCCUCACUCUACCCCAAGAGUUCUUUCACUAGAGACCUUUCACUCUAGCUCUCUUGAUUUUUCUCACCCGUGCCCAUACUUUCCCAUGGGAGAGCCGAAUGCUCUCCCCCUUGGAUGCUCUCUCAUGCCCUCUCAAGAGAGAGCCGAAUGCUCUCUCUCUCUCUCUCCUUCUCCACUUCGGCUCCUUGCAAUUAAAUGGACAGAAAAGUGAGUUAACUUCUCCUUUUUUUCAUAGACACAAUGAUGAUCCAUCAUGCUCCCUUUUCUCAAAACCCAAAACCACUUUCGGCAUGCAAAUGGGAAAUGAAUAAAAAAUGCCAAAACAAAAGGAAUCCCAUGAAACAUCAUCAUUGUCUUCCACUAUUAGCCAAAAUGAGAUAUGGACAUAUUUGGCCACUAUUCCGAAAGCAUAACACACAAAGUCACUUAAUUGUUAACAGCUCAAAAUAUGAGCCAAUCACAACAAUCUCCACCUUGGCGAAUACACCAUGCAAAAAUCCUUGCACCCAUCACCAAAGUCCAUUGGCCUUACGUACCAGCAUGCACACUCUGAAUCCACCUCAUUGGUCCUGUUCCGAUUCAGUCACUGCCAAUGCAUGUGAAGCUGCUGCAAGCUAAAAAUCACAAUUUAGCUUCAGACAGGAUCUCGACACAUCCUCGUCUCCUCCAACAGUUUUUUUUUCCCCUUCUUUAUUGUCUGCAACUUGGAAACUCGUCAGUGCACCCGUUUCCAGCAACAACCCAUCGAGCCAGACAAAAUUCCCCACACUUCUCUUCCUUCAGGACCAUCUCAUCACCUGUGAAUCCCUUAGCUCCACCUGCUGCAAAUCCCUUGCAACACUCGAGACUAAACAUCACCAAGAGAAGUGUUGCUUCGAGUACCUAGAGGGCAUACUCGAAGUCUUCCACCACAAACUUGCUACAACUCGGUCUAGCACCUGUAGCACUGUGGACCCUUGCCUCCGGAACCGGAUCUGAACCUGCUGUCUCUCUCAGAUCCUCUUUCCAAUUUUCUUCCACGAUUCCAACCUUUAAUAACUUAAGGAGUCUUGUGCCCACCAUUAUCCAUGGUCUCCUUUGUGUAUCAUUCCACACCAAAGAAGCUUGCACCUGCUCCAAACUUACUGUAACUUUCCAUGCAGUAAAGUUUCACAAGGUUAUAAGACAAAUCUGAAAGUGAGGUAAGAAGAAAGAGGCCUUUGUCUUCUUCCUCAACAUCAACUUUCGUAGUUGAUCUAAGCAUCCCUGAACACGGCUUCCAUUUCUUCAGGCUUCCAUUACUCUCCAUUACCAAGAGUAAAAUUGCCUCUCCCUUUAAACUGCUCAACUGAAAAUUCCAUGGUGAACAACAAAUCUGGACCUCCAACGAACCAAGCUUCCAACGAGCUCUGAUACCAAUUGUUGUGCCUUGGCCCGUUCAUUAGUGCGGAAACGAGAUUCAGAUUACAACCACACCUAAAAUCACACCCAGUUAAACAGAAUAAAAUACAAGAAAUAAAGACAACGAGAAAUUUACGAGGUUCGGCAAAAACCUGCCUACGUCCUCAGAGAGAUAUUGCUCUUCACUAUGAGAAAAACAGUACAAGUUACACAUAAGUUAAAUCGACAUAACCCAAUCCCAUAUCCCUUGUACACCCACUCACAGAAUUUUCCCAAGAGCCUCACUCUACCCCAAGAGUUCUUUCACUAGAGACCUUUCACUCUAGCUCUCUUGAUUUUUCUCACCCGUGCCCAUACUUUCCCAUGGGAGAGCCGAAUGCUCUCCCCCUUGGAUGCUCUCUCAUGCCCUCUCAAGAGAGAGCCGAAUGCUCUCUCUCUCUCUCUCCUUCUCCACUUCGGCUCCUUGCAAUUAAAUGGACAGAAAAGUGAGUUAACUUCUCCUUUUUUUCAUAGACACAAUGAUGAUCCAUCAUGCUCCCUUUUCUCAAAACCCAAAACCACUUUCGGCAUGCAAAUGGGAAAUGAAUAAAAAAUGCCAAAACAAAAGGAAUCCCAUGAAACAUCAUCAUUGUCUUCCACUAUUAGCCAAAAUGAGAUAUGGACAUAUUUGGCCACUAUUCCGAAAGCAUAACACACAAAGUCACUUAAUUGUUAACAGCUCAAAAUAUGAGCCAAUCACAACAAGUCCUCCAUAUGGAAGCACUCCAGCAACUAAGAAUGAUGGAAGAGCAAGCUGAGUACGAUAAUGAAGCGCUGCAAAAGACAGACAACUUCUUGUCGAGAAGGAGAAGGAAAUACAAGAUUUAGAAGCAGAGCAGAAGGCACUCCAUGCAUACUGAGAGUUUCUUGAACACACGAUUAACCCGAUUCUCAUUUCUCUUCAAUAUUUAGCAUACCCUAGACAGAAUUGCACCGUUACAGUUUGAAGUUUGCUUUCUAAGUAUUCUUCUCUCUAACAUUUGCUGAAAUUGGUAUUCUGUCAAGUUUUCUGUUUUGAUAUCAAUUGUGAAGAAUGAAAUUCCAAAACAUUUUAUCAUACUUGCUUAGGCUAUGUGUUCCUCAACAAGCAUGCAAGCCAAGCUAAGGUAAGCUACCAAUGUUAUGUGAGACCUACUUCAUACAAGACAACGAGAUGACAGCAAGAGGAGAAUGCACGAGAGAAAAACUUGAAACCGAAAACAACUUCAAAUGUUUUUCGAUUUUGAUUUCUAGUUCUCAUGCACUGUACCAUUUUGUCGUAUACAUUUCUUCCACCAUCCUUCCUCCACUCAUCUUCAUACUUCAUUUUUUAUUUUUGUCUUCAAGUAGGCAUUCUACGGCUAAUGUGUUGGAAAAAGUUAUGAAAAUUUGCUAUAUAUUUUAUUAUAAAUUAUUAAAUAAUACACAAUAAAAUCUCUAUAAAUGCAAGAAGAACAAGGAAUGGAAGAACCUUAAGAGAUUGAGGGUAGAAUUUGAUUCUAUAACCUUAAGACAAGAUUGCCCCUCAGUGGUGCCUCAAGGUUUGCGUUGGCAAAUGUCUCUCAGGAUACAAUGAUCUUUCUCUUUGCGGAAGUAGCACUCGAAUCCACAAAGAACAGCGAACCAAAAGUGUUUAAAACUCUCUCUUUGUUGAACACUAAACUACUCUAAUUUCUAUAUGAUUUCUGAAUGCAAAGCAUAUUUAAAAUGCUUGACUUGGUGGUCUAUUUAUAGGCUUUGGCAUGCCCCUUUUCCAAAGGUUGUAUCUGCUUCCAAAAGGCAAAGGACGCAACCCUUAUUCAAGAUUACAUCUGCAACCGAAACACAAGGGUUGCGUUUGAUUUCUCAUAAGACAAAGAUGCAACCUUUUCCAAAGUUGCAUCUGUUUUCAAACUGACAAAGGUUGUGACCUUUGUUCAAACAUGCAUAACCCUUGAAAACUGCCGGUCAAACCCAUCCAUGACUAUUUUAAUUUCCAUUUUAAUUUCCAUUCACUUGAACAUUAAAAUUUAAAUAUUAAUAAUACUAAUAUUUAAAUAUUAAAUUUCUAACAUAAUGAAGAAAAAACUGUAAACAGUAAACUAAAAAAUGCACAUAGAAACCUAAUAGUAAGCCAACAAAAAUGAAUUCAGCCGUACAUUCUAUUAUUCUUGAAUCUUCAACUUGCCAGGGGUGGUACAAUAUAUAUUUGUUGUACGUUUGUUUAUUUCUCUACUCUUUUUUGUUCCACAUGAAAAUAAAUCUACAUGAAAAUUCAGAGGGAAGAGAAAAUAGGAACACCCGGCAAGGAGGUUCCUGCAUCAACAAUAUAAAUGUUGCCAGAGACAUAUUCAGAAGAGUCAUGUACCAAAUAUCGAACUAGCGAUGUCAAUGCUGGAUCUGAAGUGCCAAAUGUUCUUAAAGGGACAAUUUUCAUAGCCACAUUGUGCAGCCAGUCUUUUUGCAUAAGACGCUCCGUAAUUUCCGAUCUGAAAAGUCCAAGUGAUAUUGCAUUCACUCUGAUUUUGUGUACCCCCAGCUCCAUAGCCAUAGUCUGGUUAACAUAACAAGAUUCAGUAUAGUACCAUAGAAGCUUUCACCUACACUACCAAGUGCAGAGAACUACAGAACAUAUUCCUUAGGAGAAUACUCAUAAUCAAAUAUAGAUAAUGACACUUAUAAGAGAAGAAGAGAAGAAGAAAAGAAUAAGCAAAGGUAGUGUCGGUGACAUGACAAAGUUGAGGAUAAAAUCUUAAAAUGGCAACUGAUAAACCAGCAGUUAAAAUGUAAAACUUCGUUUGAAGUUAGACCAUCAAUUCAUAUGUCAUUCCCAGAAAUCCUCCGGUGCAACAAAAAGCAAAAUGUGGUUGAGUGCGAUAACACGUUGGUCAAAACAGUCUGUUGGUUAUACGACAAUAGAGCCGCUCGGACCAUGAGCUUGUGAUAACCACAGCCUUGCGUCAACACACUUUAUUGACGGAUGAUAACAGCACAUGAAGAUGACAAGCAUUUUGGCAAUCAGACUUAGAACUAACGAACUAAAGAGACCAAGAAUCAAAACCGGCUUAUAAUGGGGGUGAUAGAAUUUGGGUCGACAAGCCAAGGACCCCACUCCAACAACACUGAUAUUGUCCCCAACUUGGUAAUUACCACUUGCCCAAUCCAUCAGGUGUGGGAUUUUAUCACAAAAGGUCUCAGUACUAGUUAGAGUAGGGUAAUCAUAUUUAAACUAUUUUCUUUCUUCUUUCCCUCACCUAUGUGGGAUAGCCAACAGGGGGCAUAAGAGAAAAUACACGGUAUAGCCCAUAGGCCCACUAGCAAUAUUCCUCCACUAGACUAAAAAAGAACUAAAAUACUCCUAGGCUGAUUUCGGUCCUAAGUCUAUUUUUCCCAGGAAACUGUUAUUGACACUCCAAAAAAGUCAUCUCGUACAAUUUAUGCCUUAUAUUUCCCAGGAGGCAGGCAUCCCUUCAAGUUCUUAUAUUUCAUUUAUAGACCAAAAGUAACAAAAACAUAAUUCCUUUUCCUUACGCAAUUAAUAUGAUUUUCCCGAUUAGCAUGUUAAAGAUAAUACCUUUGUUAAGGUGUUUACACCAGCCUUUGAACAAUUGUAUGCUGUAGCUCCAGGCGCAAAUCCACGAUUAAGACCAGUAAUGGAAGAUAUAUUGACGAUUGACCCUCCCUGAUCAGCAUCUCGCAUGCGUAUAGCAACAAACUUUGAUACCAACCAGGAACCCGUCAAAUUUGUCCUGAAAACAUUAUUCCAUUCCUCCUCAGACAGUUCCAAUGGAGAACUCACAUUACCUAAGAAACACAGAUGGUAGUAAGCAUUUAUGAUACACCAACACAGACCUAUAGACCAACUAGUUGUGUGUGCCUGUGAGGUCAACAAUUGGUGAUUAGUACGGGACAGGAAUCAGGAUUGGGACUGAGUCUAGUCCAGUCCGAAUCCGAUAGUCCCACCCGCACUCCCUGUAGAGGUCAGAGGUAGAGGGUACAUGAUGAUGUUGUAUACAAUACUUGGGACAGUCGUCCCAUUCAAUAGUCCAGUAUCGUCAUUGUUAAGUUCAUGAACUGAAAGUAAUUUGCAUUACCAAAAAUAUAAUUGUAAAACAAAGGUAUAUUUGUCAAUUCCCCCCUCCCCUGAAGGUUUAGGAAGAAAUUUGAGGACAAUCCGUCAAAUACCUCUAAAACAAAUAACAUGAAAGGCAGAAAGCCAAGCCAAACCAACCUCUAAUACCGGCAUUGUUAACAAGGGCAUCGAUGAGCCCAAACGCGUCCCAAGCCUUGUUCACGGACUUCUCGAUAGCUGAACCAUCGGCGCUGACAUCCAGCUCCACAGCCACAGCCCUCGGGCCUCCUCCAGGCCCAUUAUCAGCAACAGAAGAUGGUGAAGAAGGAGCGGUGAUGGAGAGCUGGUUGAUUUGAACGCACACGGACUGAAGGCGGUCGAUGCGGCGAGCGGAGGCUACGAUUCUGCAGCCGGCUUUAGCCAAGUCUAAGCACAACUCGCGGCCGAGGCCAGAGGAAGCGCCGGUGACCAUGACGACUUUGCCGUGGAGGUGGCCCCAGGGCUCCAGGUGGUCCGACACUCGAUGAGGAUUCUCCAUGUUUGAUAAUCUGUUGUCAACUAUGAGCUAAGAAUUAUAUAGAACAAGGAAGAAGAGACUUCCAUGUGCAUGUGUGAUACUGCUAAAUCUUGACCGUUGGUGGCUUCGAUAUGGACGGUCAUGAUUUGGGGUGAUAUAUUUGCAGUUGCUGGACGAAAGCAUGUUUCGUG
This 20688-nucleotide long non-coding RNA is filed under the name Malus domestica (apple). Its description in RNAcentral is "long non-coding RNA (MDOM_LNC015906)". The record is from RNAcentral. Lineage: Eukaryota; Viridiplantae; Streptophyta; Magnoliopsida; Rosales; Rosaceae.